RNAcentral lists this ribosomal RNA (240 nucleotides) under uncultured bacterium. RNAcentral's name for it is "partial 16S ribosomal RNA". It matches the Rfam family "Bacterial small subunit ribosomal RNA", at positions 1252 to 1500 of the family's 1533-position model. The record is from RNAcentral.
ACCUGGCGACAGGAUGCCAAUCCCCAAAACCUCUCUCAGUUCGGAUCGAAGUCUGCAACCCGACUUCGUGAAGCUGGAUUCGCUAGUAAUCGCGCAUCAGCCAUGGCGCGGUGAAUACGUUCCCGGGCCUUGUACACACCGCCCGUCAAGCCAUGAAAGCCGGGGGUACCUGAAGUACGUAACCGCAAGGAUCGUCCUAGGGUAAAACUGGUAAUUGGGGCUAAGUCGUAACAAGGUAUC